GGGCAGUGACUGCUGCCUCUUUCUCAGUUCAGUGCAGGGAGGCCGUAUGCUCUCCCAUAUGGUGCUGAGAAGGACAAUCACGUAUCUGACCCUGGAGGGUAUGGAGACUCUGCGUCCUUGGUUAGCCCCUGGCAGUCACCACAAAAGCACGGUCUGCUGGUCCACUACAUUCUUGAGCUCAUCAGCCUGCGGCCAUUUUUGCAUUAUUUCUUUUGGGGAGUCGAUUUGCCAGGCGCUUGCAGCCUAUGGGGGGAUGGCACAGAGUCCAGGGUUUGGGAGGAGAGAUGGCCUGAAUCCACGGCAGCAGCAGGACAGGCCCCGGGCGGUAAAGAUGGAAUCCAUUCAUUUGGAGAAGCAGAGGGAACUUGGCAGAAAGGAUCAAAUGGAAAAUACUCCCGGCAGCCUGAAGUCAGCCGUCUACCCAAACAGAGGGGGCCCUGCCCCAGGAGACCGGCUUAGAGUUGCUGCUGUUUUUAGUAAUCGAGGCCCUGAGAAUGAUUAAACCAUCAAACUCGGCCACUCAGAGAGUAUUUUCACACGAGCCAAAUGGACCUCCAUGUACAAUCGCUCUUACUUACUGUGGAGAAGGCAGAAUUCUAUUCUCGUAUUUUAUGUUUUUUAAAGAGGCAAUUUCAAUUCUUUCAUGUGAUAGAAAAUGUUCGACACAAAUUAACAUUCCUGACAAAAGGGCUGUCGAUCAAGUGAGAAAAGCAUUCAGCUUGCGAUGCGAGCAGGACUGGAUCGGCAGCACGAGAACUGCUGAGAAGGGAGGCUGGGGAGACGAGACUCCACCCUGCACCCACCGGCAGGCCGCUCCGGAUCCUGAGAGGAAGGCACCGGGCCCUCGGCCUCUCUGGUCUACACGCUGACCCUCUGCGCAGGACGCUGGAGGAACACAGCGGGAGAUUUGCUGGAAUCUUUUUCCAGCUUGAGAUUUGAAUAUGUUCCUUAACUUCCUCAAGAAAGGCCCCUGCACAGAUCAAUAUUCACUUAACAAAUAUUUAUGGACUAUUCAUCCUACUAUGUGCCAAGUAUUGGUCUAGACGUUGGGUGUGAAUAAGAUAUAAAAGGUCCCUGCCCCACUGAGCUCACCUUCUAGAAGGGAGAAGACGGACAGUCAGUGGGUAAACAAACAAAAGAGACUGUUUGAAAUGUAUAUGCGCUGUGGAGGAAUUUAAGCAGGAUAAAAAUAAGAAAGAAUAGCUGUGUUGAGGGUGGGGGGGCACUUCAGACGGGGGUCAGGAAGAGCUGAGACCUGAAUUCUGUCCUGUCCCUUCUGGAGGACCAGCCAGCCACAUUAAGAGGCAGGUAAGUGUUCCCAGCAGAGAAGGGAAAGUGCGAAGGUGCGGAGGCGGGUCAGACUGGCCUGUUAAAACCGGAGCCAGGCCAGGUCAGCGCUGGCUGUGAUCGAGCAGGGAGGAAGGGCAGCAGAGAGAGCCAGGCAGGAGCCAGAUCACGCACAGCCCCUUCGGUUGUGGACUGGAGCCCAUGUCUCAUUUUUAAAUCAGCUUUAUUGGGACGUAAUUUACACAGAAUAAAAUUCACUAAUUUUAAACAUACAAUUUGAUGGGUUUUGGGAUAUGUGUAGGUUGUACAACCACCAACAUAAGCACGACACUGCACAUUUCCACCACCUCAAAAAGUUCCCUCCUGCCCCUUUGCAGGCAACCCUCAGCCCGGCCCUGGUCCCCAGUAACGAGUGGAGUCUGCUUCCUGUCACUCUGCUUCUGCCCUUUCUGAAACACCAUAUAAAUGGAAUCAUGCAGUAUGAAGCUGGCAGCCUUCUAAAAUGGCUCCCAAUGACCCCUGCCUCCUGGUCUUGUGCAAACCCUUCCCCUGGCGUACGGUCUGGACCGCGUGACUUGUUCCAAUGACGCGUCCAAAAGCGAUGAGACACUGCUUCCGAGGACAGCUGGUAAAGCUGCCGUCUUGCCGACUCUCUCUCUCCCUGGCUCACUUCCAUGAGGCCAGCUGCUGUGUCACGAGCUGAUGUGGCAAGAGGCUCACGGGACAAGGAACCGGGAGACCAGGCCUCCGUCCAACAGACGGCGAGGAGCUGACUCCCGACACGGCAGGAGUAAGCUGGGAGGUGGGUCCUGCCCCGCUGAACCUCGAGAUGCCGGUACCCUGGCCACCAUCUUGACUGCAGCUUUGUGAGAGACACUGAGCCACAAAAACUGGGGGAGAACCGUGCUGUUUGAAGCCACGCGUCUUGCGGGAAUUUGUCAGGCAGCAGGGGACCAUGGGACAGCAGGCUAUGUGUCUGACUUCUCUCACUUUGCAGACCGUGUUUGAGCUUCAUCCACGGUGUUGCCUGGACCAGUCGUUUAUUUGUUGCUGCUGAGGAGCAUUCCACUGAUGAAUAUACCUCAAUCUGUGUAGCUACUCACCUGCCCGUGCACGUCUGGGCUGUGUCUGGCUUUUGGUUAUUAGGAGUAAAGCUGCUUUGAACACUCAAGUAUAAGUCUUUGUGUGGACACACGUUUUCACUUCUCUUGAAUAAGUACCUAGAUAUGGGACUGUGGGGCUGUAAGUGGAAUGUAUGUUUAACUUUAUAAGAAACCGCCACUCUGUUUUCCAACGUGGCUGCACCAUUUUGUAUUCCCACCAGCGAUGUAGGAGAUUUUAAGAUGCCCUGCCUCCUCAUCAACACUUGACUGUGUCUCUAAUUUUGGCCGUUCCUGUCGCUAUGCAGAGACAUCCCACUGGGAAUUGACUGUGCAUUUUCUCAAUGGCUAACGACACUGAGCAUCUUUUCAUGCGCUUAUUUAUUUGUUCAAAUCUUUUGUCCAUAUUUAAAAAUGAGAUUGUUGGUCUUCCUAUUAUUGUAAGCAUUCUUUAUAUGUUGUAGAUACAAGUCCUUUGUUGGAUAUAUGUUUUGCAAAUAUUUUCUCCCAGUCUGGGGUUUGCCUACUCAUUUUCUCUUAUUUAUUUAUCUAUUUAUUUACUUGAGUUCAUAAUAGUUACAUCAUUGUGAAAUUUCAGUUGUACAUUAUUUCUUGUCUGUCACCACAUAGGUGCUCCCUUCAUCCCCUGUGCCCACACGCCACCACCCUUCUCCUGGUAACCACUGAAUUGUUUUCUUUGUCCAUGUGUUGUUUAUAUUCCACAUAUGAGUGAAAUCAUCUGGUGUUUGUCUUUCUUAGUCUGGCUUAUUUGGCUAAGCAUAGUUCCCUCCAGGUCCUUCCAUGUUGCAAAUGGGAUGACUUUGUCGUUUUUCUGGCUGAGUAGUAUUCCAUUGUAUAUAUACACCACAUGUUCUUUAUCCAAUCAUCAGUCGAUGGGCAUUUGGAUUGCUUCCAUGUCUUGGCUAUUGUGAAUAGUGCUGCAAUGAACAUAGGGGUGCAUAGGUCACUUUAGAUUGUUGAUUUCAAGUUAUUUGGGUAGAUACCCAGUAGUGGGAUAGCUGG
RNAcentral lists this long non-coding RNA (3410 nucleotides) under Equus caballus (horse). RNAcentral describes it as "lncRNA (ENSECAG00000056980.1)". Lineage: Eukaryota; Metazoa; Chordata; Mammalia; Perissodactyla; Equidae. The record is from RNAcentral.